RNAcentral lists this ribosomal RNA (468 nucleotides) under uncultured bacterium. RNAcentral's name for it is "partial 16S ribosomal RNA". It matches the Rfam family "Bacterial small subunit ribosomal RNA", at positions 28 to 507 of the family's 1533-position model. The record is from RNAcentral.
GACGAACGCUGGCGGCGUGCUUAACACAUGCAAGUCGAACGGAAAGGCCCUGCUUUUGUGGGGUGCUCGAGUGGCGAACGGGUGAGUAACACGUGAGUAACCUGCCCUUGACUUUGGGGUAACUUCAGGAAACUGGGGCUAAUACCGGAUAGGAGCUCCUGCUGCAUGGUGGGGGUUGGAAAGUUUCGGCGGUUGGGGAUGGACUCGCGGCUUAUCAGCUUGUUGGUGGGGUAGUGGCUUACCAAGGCUUUGACGGGUAGCCGGCCUGAGAGGGUGACCGGCACAAUGGGGACUGAGAUACGGGCGGGAGUCGUACGGGAGGCAGCAGUGGGGAAUAUUGCCCGAUGGGCGGAAGCCUGAUGCAGCAACGCCGCGUGAGGGAUGACGGCCUUCGGGUUGUAAACCGCUUUCGCCUGUGACGAAGCGUGAGUGACGGUAAUGGGUAAAGAAGCACCGGCUAACUACGUG